Molecule: ribosomal RNA, 465 nt
Filed under: uncultured bacterium
Lineage: Bacteria
Description: partial 16S ribosomal RNA
Rfam family: Bacterial small subunit ribosomal RNA
Source: RNAcentral
CCUACGGGAGGCAGCAGUAGGGAAUCUUCCACAAUGGGCGCAAGCCUGAUGGAGCAACACCGCGUGAGUGAAGAAGGGUUUCGGCUCGUAAAGCUCUGUUGUUGGAGAAGAACGUGCGUGAGAGUAACUGUUCACGCAUUGACGGUAUCCAACCAGAAAGUCACGGCUAACUACGUGCCAGCAGCCGCGGUAAUACGUAGGUGGCAAGCGUUAUCCGGAUUUAUUGGGCGUAAAGCGAGCGCAGGCGGUUGUUUAGGUCUGAUGUGAAAGCCUUCGGCUUAACCGAAGAAGUGCAUCGGAAACCGGGCGACUUGAGUGCAGAAGAGGACAGUGGAACUCCAUGUGUAGCGGUGAAAUGCGUAGAUAUAUGGAAGAACACCAGUGGCGAAGGCGGCUGUCUGGUCUGUAACUGACGCUGAGGCUCGAAAGCAUGGGUAGCGAACAGGAUUAGAUACCCGUGUAGUC